Molecule: ribosomal RNA, 1109 nt
Filed under: marine metagenome
Description: bacterial SSU rRNA
Rfam family: Archaeal small subunit ribosomal RNA
Source: RNAcentral
ACAAGGCAUACGGCUCAGUAACGCGUAGUCAACCUACCCUAUGGAUGGGAAUAAUCUCGGGAAACUGAGCAUAAUACCCAACAGAUCAUCAAUUCUGGAAUGGUUGAUGAUUCAAAUGAUUUUUCGCCAUAGGAUGGGACUGCGGCCUAUCAGCUUGUUGGUGAGGUAAUGGCCCACCAAGGCGAUUACAGGUACGGGCUCUGAGAGGAGAAGCCCGGAGAUGGGUACUGAGACAAGGACCCAGGCCCUAUGGGGCGCAGCAGGCGAGAAAACUUUGCAAUGUGCGAAAGCACGACAAGGUUAAUCCGAGUGAUUUCUGCUAAAGAAAUCUUUUGCAAGUCAUAAAACCACUAGUGAAUAAGGGGUGGGCAAGUUCUGGUGUCAGCCGCCGCGGUAAAACCAGCACCUCAAGUGGUCAGGAGGAUUAUUGGGCCUAAAGCAUCCGUAGCCGGCUCUGUAAGUUUUCGGUUAAAUCCAUGUGCUCAACGCAUGGGCUGCCGAAAAUACUGCAUAGCUAGGGAGUGGGAGAGGUAGACGGUACUCGGUAGGAAGGGGUAAAAUCCUUUGAUCUAUCGAUGACCACCUGUGGCGAAGGCGGUCUACCAGAACACGUUCGACGGUGAGGGAUGAAAGCUGGGGGAGCAAACCGGAUUAGAUACCCGGGUAGUCCCAGCUGUAAACGAUGCAGACUCGAUGAUGCAUUGGCAUAUAGCCAGUGCAGUGUCGCAGGGAAGCCGUUAAGUCUGCCGCCUGGGAAGUACGUACGCAAGUAUGAAACUUAAAGGAAUUGGCGGGGGAGCACCACAAGGGGUGAAGCCUGCGGUUCAAUUGGAGUCAACGCCAGAAAUCUUACCCGGAGAGACAGCAGAAUGAAGGUCAAGCUGAAGACUUUACCAGACAAGCUGAGAGGUGGUGCAUGGCCGUCGCCAGCUCGUGCCGUGAGAUGUCCUGUUAAGUCAGGUAACGAGCGAGAUCCUCGCCACUAGUUGCUAUCAUUAUUCUCAGGAAUAGUGGGGCGAAUUAGUGGGACUGCCGUUGUUAAAACGGAGGAAGGAGGGGGCUACGGCAGGUCAGUAUGCCCCGAAACUCUGGGGCCACACGCGGGCUGC